GCGCAAGGGGAAUGCCUUGGCAUCAGGAGCCGAAGAAGGACGUGACAAGCUGCGAAAAGCCUCGGGGAGGAGCAAAUAUCCAUUGAUCCGGGGAUAUCCGAAUGGGGCAACCCGGCUGGACAAUAUCCAGUCAUCCUGCGUUGAACAAAAUAGGCGUAGGAAGGGAACCGCCUGAACUGAAACAUCUAAGUAGGGCGAGGAAGAGACAUCAACCGAGAUUCCGCAAGUAGUGGCGAGCGAACGCGGAAGAGGCCAAACCGAGGGAUUUAUUCCUCGGGGUUAGGACUUGCAUCACGAUCAGAAGAAUCUAACAGAACGGCAUGGGAAGGCCGGCCACAGAGGGUGAGAGCCCCGUACGUGAAAGAGGAAGCUGACAGCGAGUAUCCAGAGUACCGCGGGACACGUGAAACCCCGCGGGAAAACGGGUGGACCACCAUCCAAGCCUAAAUACUACCUGAUGACCGAUAGAGGAGCAGUACCGUGAGGGAAAGGUGAAAAGGACCCCGGGAGGGGAGUGAAAGAGAACCUGAAACCUUGUGCUUACAAGCAGUCAAAGCACGUUAAAGUGUGAUGACGUACUUUUUGUAGAACGGUCCGGCGAGUUAUAGUAACGAGCAAGCUUAAGGUAUUCAGUACCGGAGGCGAAGCGAGAGCGAGUCUGAAUAGGGCGCAUAAAGUUCGUUGCCAUAGACCCGAAACCGGGUGACCUAACCAUGAGCAGGCUGAAGUGAGAGUAAAAUCUCAUGGAGGGCCGAACGCACGUUCGUUGCAAUGACCGGCGAUGACUUGUGGUUAGCGGAGAAAUUCCAAUCGAACUCGGAGAUAGCUGGUUCUCCCCGAAAUAGCUUUAGGGCUAGCGUUAUCUUAGAUUACCGGAGGUAAAGCACUGAAUGGGCUAGGGGGCGAUAAGCUUACUGAACCCUAUCAAACUCUGAAUGCCGGAUAAUUGAUGCAUAGCAGUCAGACAGUGUGAGAUAAGUUUCAUUGUCAAAAGGGAAACAGCCCAGACCUACAGCUAAGGUCCCAAAUGUAUGCUAAGUGGAAAACGAUGUGGAAUUGCGAAAACAACCAGGAUGUUGGCUCAGAAGCAGCCACACAUUAAAAGAGUGCGUAAUAGCUCACUGGUCGAGUGACUCUGCGCGGAAAAUGUAACGGGGCUAAGCAUCUAACCGAAGCUUAGGAUUGUCGUAAGACAGUGGUAGGGGAGCGUUCCAUGUGGGGUGAAGUCGUAGCGGAAGCAGCGGUGGACUGCAUGGAAGUGAGAAUGCCGGAAUGAGUAGCGAGAAUUAUGUGGGAAUCAUAAUGGCCGAAAAUCUAAGGUUUCUUGGGGAAGGUUCGUCCGCCCAAGGUAAGCCGGGAGCUAAGGCGAGGCCGAGAGGCGUAGUCGAUGCACAUACGGUAAAGAUUCCGUAGCCACCGAAGUCGUUAAAUACAGGGACACAGGAACAUAGCCUAACCCCACCGUUGGUUGAGUGGGGCGUAAGGGAGCGAAAAUUAGUAGCGAAGUAGGUGAUUGUACACUGGCGAGAAAAGCUGUAUGAAUUGACAAGGUGCCCGUACCGCAAACCGACACAGGUAGAUGAGGAGAGAAUCCUAAGACCAGCGGGAGAAGUGUUGUUAAGGAACUCGGCAAAAUGACCCCGUAACUUCGGGAUAAGGGGAGCCUACGCGAGUAGGCCGCAGAGAAUAGUCUCAAGCGACUGUUUAGCAAAAACACAGGUCUAUGCUAAAUCGAAAGAUGAUGUAUAUGGGCUGACGCCUGCCCGGUGCUGGAAGGUUAAGGGGAAGUGUUAGAGCAAUCGAAGCACUGAACUUAAGCCCCAGUAAACGGCGGCCGUAACUAUAACGGUCCUAAGGUAGCGAAAUUCCUUGUCAGGUAAG
This 1881-nucleotide ribosomal RNA is filed under the name human gut metagenome. RNAcentral's name for it is "bacterial LSU rRNA". It matches the Rfam family "Bacterial large subunit ribosomal RNA", at positions 17 to 1980 of the family's 2925-position model. The record is from RNAcentral.